RNAcentral lists this non-coding RNA (30 nucleotides) under Rattus norvegicus (Norway rat). The record is from RNAcentral. Lineage: Eukaryota; Metazoa; Chordata; Mammalia; Rodentia; Muridae.
UGAUAAAUGCCGUGUGUGCUUGGACCAGUA